Schistosoma rodhaini is the source of this 45-nucleotide non-coding RNA. Lineage: Eukaryota; Metazoa; Platyhelminthes; Trematoda; Strigeidida; Schistosomatidae. The record is from Rfam.
AUCCAGCUGACGAGUCCUGAAUAGGACGAAACGCGCGUCAUGGAU